GGAAGGGUGACAGAGUGGUUGAUUGUGACGCUCUCGAAAAGCGUUGUGACUGCAAGGUCACCGUGGGUUCGAAUCCCACCCCUUCCG
Transfer RNA from Synechococcus sp. JA-2-3B'a(2-13), 87 nucleotides. It matches the Rfam family "tRNA". Rfam says of the family: Transfer RNA (tRNA) molecules are approximately 80 nucleotides in length. Their secondary structure includes four short double-helical elements and three loops (D, anti-codon, and T loops). NCBI's taxonomy places the organism in Bacteria, Bacillati, Cyanobacteriota, Cyanophyceae, Synechococcales, Synechococcaceae. The record is from Rfam.